RNAcentral lists this unclassified non-coding RNA (244 nucleotides) under Hevea brasiliensis (rubber tree). The record is from RNAcentral. Lineage: Eukaryota; Viridiplantae; Streptophyta; Magnoliopsida; Malpighiales; Euphorbiaceae.
UAAAAUCUCACGAAUUUAUCGCUUCUCUCUUGAUUUCGGAAAGUUAAGAUUUUGAUGCCCAACUCAACUCAACUCAUCUAACUCAACUAAGCCUCCGCUGUCUCUGUUCUGCGGCUUCUUUCGCUUCUGCUAGUUCUCCACUAUUUCUCUGCUGUCUCUGUUCUGUGGCUUCUUCUGCUUCUGCUAGUUCUCUUCUCUCUUCUAUUUAUGAUUCGACCCAUUUCUGCUUCUUAUUUUAGACAGA